GAGGGUAUAGUUCAAGUGGUAGAGUGUGUGCUUAGCAUGCACGAGGUCCUGGGUUCAGUUCCCAGUACCCCCU
RNAcentral lists this transfer RNA (73 nucleotides) under Camelus bactrianus (Bactrian camel). It matches the Rfam family "tRNA". From Rfam's summary of the family: Transfer RNA (tRNA) molecules are approximately 80 nucleotides in length. Lineage: Eukaryota; Metazoa; Chordata; Mammalia; Artiodactyla; Camelidae. RNAcentral also lists the same sequence under 2 other names. The record is from Rfam by way of RNAcentral.